Molecule: long non-coding RNA, 2095 nt
Organism: Mus spicilegus (steppe mouse)
Lineage: Eukaryota; Metazoa; Chordata; Mammalia; Rodentia; Muridae
Source: Ensembl
AUGUCUUGUUUUUCAGGUAAGGGACAGAGGCUUACGUUGAGAAAGGGUUGCCCAUCACUUAAAAUGGGCUCCUGGUCCCUUGGGCAUUGGCCAGGGACCUGCGUAAGAAGCAGAGGAACCAAGUCUUCCAUCUCUACACCACUGCAGUCCACACUGCAGUCUGACUCCUUCUCUAGACAUAGCAGAGCUCUGGGUAAACCAGGACUUACCAGUGUUAGAAAGACUGCCCGGUCAUCAGUCUUCUGCACUGUGUGCUUCAUUGUACUGCAUGCUGAGGAAUAUUUCCCCCAGGAGGCUCGUGAGGGGCAUCUCCAGCCAGAGGAGGAUGUCCUGGAUGAAGACGCUCAUUUUACAUGUAAGAAGAAUCAGGGAUAUCAAGUCUGGAGACGGAAAGAGGAUGCUGAGCCCACAAUUGCUAGUAAGGACUUUCACUUACACAGGAGGGGAAAGGAACAAAGUGGAUUAGGAAAGAAAAAUGUUAGUGGCCUGUGUUAAAUGGAGGCUUGAAUCAGCCUCAAGAAUGGCUGGAUCUAGUAUUUUACCAACAUCUUUGCAGUUCUUUUCUCCAGUGGCCUGUCUCUACUUAUGUGAUCCAUAGCUGUACCCCAAACUACACCCUCAGGGCUCUGACUCAUACCAUCUCUCAAAUAUUUUCUCCUCAUAUGGCAGGAAGCCUUCUUAGUCAUAUUCUAUUUAGAGACCCCAUCAGAAAAAGAUGGUCUCCCCUACCCAGUCUGUUGAAAGAGUUUUAGGCCCAACCGGUUGAAUCGAACUUGAAACCCAGUCCUAUCCUUGGCCUGAGCUGGACAUGAGCACACUUCUUAGUGUGCAGAAUACUGCAGUCAGAUCCACCUAAAGCACAGUAAAUAGAUGCCUUCUAGAAGGUUCUAUCAAUUCAGGGAGGGCAGAAGUGGUGCCAGGCAGACAAAACCUACAGAAGCCCCCACAGCCAUCAACAGAUCCUGAGAGAAUCUGCUCUUUUCUUCUGGACACUGCAAGUUUAACCAACCUCCCUCUUUCCUGCUAGCUCUCCUCAGCUGCCCAUGGCCCAGGAGACAAGGGUUCAGUCCACAUAAUGCCCUACCACAAACUCUGUGCUCUGGUCUGCUCCCUGUUCAACUUCACCCCCUAUUUCUGCUCCUUCAUUCUCUCCUAGGUGCUUUCCACCAGAGCUGGUCAGUCCCCACUCCCUCCUUCCAGGUUUUCCUCUAAUCCUCAGCAAUGUGGCCAGAAACAACACAGCUCCCUGAAGGCCCUCGGGAACAGAGGAAAUACCCACCCAGCACAGAUAAUCGCCUCUCCCAGAGGUGGCUGCUGUGUUGCUGACUUUGAAGUCCUGCCCAAGCUCUACCCUGCCUCCCACCUCUGGACCCAGCCCAGCCUCCUGUCCCUAGACAGAGCUCAGGGGCCAAGUGAUCCCACUCUCACGACAGCCUCAGACACUGUUUUCCCCUCUUAGACUCAAGACCUGCCCCAUAAUUGGCCUCUUCCUUGCAUUACCCAUAAUAGAAAUAUUUAAAAAAAGACACCCACAGGUGAUUGAUUCCCCUGAAGCUUGGCAGUCAGCUGGCAGUGGCAACUCAGGUGACAUCCCAAUCCUAGGUCUAGGACGUGUGGCCCUGAGCAGCAUCCACUUCAUCCAAAAAAGUGAACAUUUCUUCCCACACUCUUCACUACCCCAGCCCCCAAUCUUGUGCAAACAACCGGUCCCAGAAUAUUAUCUGUAACUUUGCAAGAGCUCACCAACCUCAGGCAUAGGAUAGUGUGACUCCAAAUUAGGACAUGGUGGUGCUCUAAGUAAACAGUCCCCAGAGGCAUAAUUUUAAGUAAUUCCAAAUGUCUUUUGCUAAAGGGUAUUCACAUCUCAGAGUCAGAAAUCUCUUUAAGGCUCCCUUGGUGCUUUCCCAUACCCACCAAGACUGGCACCCGGGUGGAGUGGAGGCUUGUUUCCUAUUGAUAGAACUCAAGGGUCAAGCGGUGAAUUCCGAGACAAAAGAGUAUCUUCUGCAAGCAAAUUUUAGCCUCCACCAGGAGGGCAGUGCCAUUUCUCCUCCCAGUUAAAUAAAGAACAACUUAUUAUAAUGUUAUAAUUCCA